UACGGAGGAUGCGAGCGUUAUCCGGAUUUAUUGGGUUUAAAGGGUGCGUAGGCGGGUUAUCAAGUCAGCGGUAAAAUCGUGGAGCUCAACUCCAUCCAGCCGUUGAAACUGAUGAUCUUGAGUGGGCGAGAAGUAUGCGGAAUGCGUGGUGUAGCGGUGAAAUGCAUAGAUAUAUGGAGGAACACCAGUGGCGAAGGCGGCCUGCUGGACGACAACUGACGGUGAGGCGCGAAAGCGUGGGGAGCAAACAGG
This 252-nucleotide ribosomal RNA is filed under the name uncultured bacterium. RNAcentral describes it as "partial 16S ribosomal RNA". It matches the Rfam family "Bacterial small subunit ribosomal RNA", at positions 524 to 776 of the family's 1533-position model. The record is from RNAcentral.